RNAcentral lists this ribosomal RNA (526 nucleotides) under uncultured bacterium. RNAcentral's name for it is "bacterial SSU rRNA". It matches the Rfam family "Bacterial small subunit ribosomal RNA", at positions 21 to 518 of the family's 1533-position model. The record is from RNAcentral.
GGCUUAGGACGAACGCUGGCGGCGUGCCUAAUACAUGCAAGUCGAACGGUCUUUCUAUGGAAGCUUGCUUCCACUGAGAAGAUAGUGGCGAACGGGUGAGUAACACGUGGGUAACCUGCCCAUAAGAGGGGGGAUAACAUCCGGAAACGGGUGCUAAUACCGCAUAGUUUUCUUGAUUGCAUGAUUGAGAAAGGAAAGACGGCCUUUGUGCUGUCGCUUAUGGAUGGACCCGCGGCGUAUUAGUUAGUUGGUGGGGUAACGGCUCACCAAGACGAUGAUACGUAGCCGACCUGAGAGGGUGAUCGGCCACAUUGGGACUGAGACACGGCCCAAACUCCUACGGGAGGCAGCAGUAGGGAAUCUUCCGCAAUGGACGAAAGUCUGACGGAGCAACGCCGCGUGAGUGAAGAAAGGGUUUUCGGAUCGUAAAACUCUGUUGUCAGAGAAGAACAAGUUGGAGAGUAACUGCUCCAGCCUUGACGGUAUCUGACCAGAAAGCCACGGCUAACUACGUGCCAGCCGCAGC